Molecule: ribosomal RNA, 497 nt
Filed under: uncultured bacterium
Lineage: Bacteria
Description: partial 16S ribosomal RNA
Rfam family: Bacterial small subunit ribosomal RNA
Source: RNAcentral
GAUGAACGCUGGCGGCGUGCCUAAUACAUGCAAGUCGAGCGAACAGACGAGGGGCUUGCUCCUUUGACGUUAGCGGCGGACGGGUGAGUAACACGUAGGUAACCUACCUAUAGGACUGGGAUAACUUCGGCAAACCGGCGCUAUUACGGGAAAAUAUUUCGAACCACGUGGUUCGAUAGUGAAAGAUGGUUUUUCUAUCACUAAUAGAUGGACCUGCGCCGUAUUCGCUAGUUGUUAAGGUAACGGCUUACCAAGGCAACGAUACUUAGCCGACCUGAGAGGGAGAUCGGCCAGACUGGAACUGAGAAAGAGCCGAGACUCCUACAGUAGGCAGCAGUAGGGAAUCUUCCGCAAUGGGCGAAAGCCUGACGGUGCAACGCCGCGGGAGUGAUGAAGUUCUCCUGAUCGGAAAACUCUGUUAUUAGGGAAGAACAAACGUGUAAGUAACUGGGCACGUCUUGACGGUACCUAAUCAGAAAGCCACGGCUAACUACGUG